RNAcentral lists this transfer RNA (96 nucleotides) under Bacillus sp. NTK074B. RNAcentral describes it as "tRNA-Sec". It matches the Rfam family "Selenocysteine transfer RNA". RNAcentral also lists the same sequence under 2 other names. The record is from RNAcentral. Lineage: Bacteria; Bacillati; Bacillota; Bacilli; Caryophanales; Bacillaceae.
GGGGCUGAUUGUUGAGCUGGUGCUUGCCUGAGUCUUCAAAACUUUUGAGAGGCGCGUGCCGUCUCUGCUGGGUUCGAUUCCCAGGCAGUCCCGCCA